This 65-nucleotide transfer RNA is filed under the name Tubuca paradussumieri. Its description in RNAcentral is "tRNA-Asp". The record is from RNAcentral. Lineage: Eukaryota; Metazoa; Arthropoda; Malacostraca; Decapoda; Ocypodidae.
AAGAAAUUAGUUAAAUUUAUAACCUAUGUUUGUCAUGCAUAAAUUAUCCUUAUAGAUAUUUCUUA